Myodes glareolus (Bank vole) is the source of this 605-nucleotide non-coding RNA. NCBI's taxonomy places the organism in Eukaryota, Metazoa, Chordata, Mammalia, Rodentia, Cricetidae. The record is from RefSeq and is a predicted model, not a curated record.
UAUUAUUUUUCAAAGAACUUUGUCUACCUCAUAACGAUUUUAUUGUUUUAUCAAUGAAAAUAUAAUACAACAUAAGAUGGGUUUGAGACAAAUUUUCCCUUGAAAACACUGUAAUCUUUUGCUUUGUUUGCUUAGGGAAGGUAUUCAUUUUCAAGUUUAGGCUGCCCAUGAAUUUGUGAUUUUCCUGCCUUGGCCUUCAGACAUGCAUUCUUAGCAAGCACUCAAAGAUCCUUACCAUUUAAUCUAUUGUCUUCUGAGAUUUUUAUUGUGGAGAAUUCCAAUAUCUUAAUUCUGAUAUUUAAAAAUAAGCUUGUGGGUAUAUGUAUGUGGUAUAAUGAAUUCUCUUCCCUCUACCUUUUAAGAAACAGUCUUUCCAAUAAAUGUCUAGGAGUGUCUUCUAAUCUGCUUGCUCUUUCCUUUAGAAUAAGGGAGUCCCUCCUCUUUUUUGUUGCAGAGGUGGAUAUGUUCCAAAACCCCCAGUAGAUGCCUGAUGCCAUGUAAUCAGUUGAACAUAAGCCCCAGGAAACCACCACAGUGCAUCUGGUAGCUGGGAUGGCUAAGUACCUAAUGGUAUGUAGUUCUUGAAUAAAAGAUUGAUUCAUAGA